UCGCCAGGCUUGGCGGCUCUUUCUCUCCCAAGGCAGAGGAGAUCGUUGGGUUUCAAGGCCCCGCGGGCAUUUCUCGCCGGCCCUGCGGAGAGAGUUCUUCACUACCACAACCAAGGAGGGAUAUGAUAGGCGGCCAGUGGAUAUAACUCCUUUAGAACAAAGGAAAUUAACUUUUGAUACCCAUGCAUUGGUUCAGGACUUGGAAACUCAUGGAAAUAACAGUACAACAGCUAAUGGCUCAUUUGGAUGCUAUCAGGAAAGACAUGGUCAUCCUAGAGAAAAGUGAAUUUGCAAAUCUGAGAGCAGAGAAUGAGGUGAUACAAAUUUUAAUUUAUUACUUAUAAAAUAACUGAUCUCAUAAUAAGCAUCCUACUUAAGGAAUAAGUUAAUAAGACCAAGUAAUAAUUCCAUGUGGUUAGUAAACAAUAAGUUUUUAGAUUUAAAAACAUACUAUUUGUUUAACCAUACCUAAUCUUUUUCUAUAUAAAUCAUAGUGCUUUGCAUACUGAAGAGAAUAAGAGUUACAUUUUAUACAUAUAAAACCACAUAAAACAAAAUCUUUGAGCUAUAUAUAUAAAAUUUGUAUAUAAUGGUUUCAGAGCUGAGAGUAAUACGGCAUUUUCUAUUUUAUUUAAUCCUGUACUAAAUGUCUUUGUGACUUAAAAGUAUAUUUCUGUAAUUAAGUCAGAAUUUUAAGUUAUGUUAUCCACUAUAGCUUAUUUUUAAAUUUAGAAAAUCAGUUUUUAAAAGUAUAAUAUAAAAACAAAUGCAUUUUG
RNAcentral lists this long non-coding RNA (776 nucleotides) under Homo sapiens (human). Its description in RNAcentral is "non-protein coding lnc-DLG2-3:2". Lineage: Eukaryota; Metazoa; Chordata; Mammalia; Primates; Hominidae. The record is from RNAcentral.